Molecule: ribosomal RNA, 1202 nt
Filed under: Listeria monocytogenes
Lineage: Bacteria; Bacillati; Bacillota; Bacilli; Caryophanales; Listeriaceae
Description: partial 23S ribosomal RNA
Rfam family: Bacterial large subunit ribosomal RNA
Source: RNAcentral
UUGGUUAAGUUAGAAAGGGCGCACGGUGGAUGCCUUGGCACUAGGAGCCGAAGAAGGACGGGACUAACACCGAUAUGCUUUGGGGAGCUGUACGUAAGCGUUGAUCCAGAGAUUUCCGAAUGGGGGAACCCACUAUCUUUAGUCGGAUAGUAUCCUUACGUGAAUACAUAGCGUAAGGAAGGCAGACCCAGGGAACUGAAACAUCUAAGUACCUGGAGGAAGAGAAAGAAAAAUCGAUUUCCUGAGUAGCGGCGAGCGAAACGGAAAGAGCCCAAACCAAGAAGCUUGCUUCUUGGGGUUGUAGGACACUCUAUACGGAGUUACAAAAGAAAGUUAUAAAUGAAGCGGUCUGGAAAGGCCCGCCAAAGACGGUAACAGCCCGGUAGUUGAAAUGGCUUUCCCUCCAGAGUGGAUCCUGAGUACGGCGGAACACGUGAAAUUCCGUCGGAAUCCGGGAGGACCAUCUCCCAAGGCUAAAUACUCCCUAGUGACCGAUAGUGAACCAGUACCGUGAGGGAAAGGUGAAAAGCACCCCGGAAGGGGAGUGAAACAGUUCCUGAAACCGUGUGCCUACAAGUAGUUAGAGCCCGUUAAUGGGUGAUAGCGUGCCUUUUGUAGAAUGAACCGGCGAGUUACGAUUUGUUGCAAGGUUAAGCGGAAAAAGCGGAGCCGUAGCGAAAGCGAGUCUGAAUAGGGCGCAUAAGUAACAGGUCGUAGACCCGAAACCAGGUGAUCUACCCAUGUCCAGGAUGAAGGUAAGGUAAUACUUACUGGAGGUCCGAACCCACGCACGUUGAAAAGUGCGGGGAUGAGGUGUGGGUAGCGGAGAAAUUCCAAUCGAACUUGGAGAUAGCUGGUUCUCUCCGAAAUAGCUUUAGGGCUAGCCUCGAGGUAAAGAGUCAUGGAGGUAGAGCACUGUUUGGACUAGGGGCCCUUCUCGGGUUACCGAAUUCAGAUAAACUCCGAAUGCCAUGUACUUAUACUCGGGAGUCAGACUGCGAGUGAUAAGAUCCGUAGUCGAAAGGGAAACAGCCCAGACCACCAGUUAAGGUCCCCAAAUAUAUGUUAAGUGGAAAAGGAUGUGGGGUUGCUUAGACAACCAGGAUGUUGGCUUAGAAGCAGCCACCAUUGAAAGAGUGCGUAAUAGCUCACUGGUCGAGUGACCCCGCGCCGAAAAUGUACCGGGGCUAAACAUAUUACCG